RNAcentral lists this ribosomal RNA (1369 nucleotides) under uncultured bacterium. Its description in RNAcentral is "bacterial SSU rRNA". It matches the Rfam family "Bacterial small subunit ribosomal RNA", at positions 28 to 1381 of the family's 1533-position model. The record is from RNAcentral.
GACGAACGCUGGCGGCGUGCCUAAUACAUGCAAGUAGAACGCUGAAGAGAGGAGCUUGCUCUUCUUGGAUGAGUUGCGAACGGGUGAGUAACGCGUAGGUAACCUGCCUUGUAGCGGGGGAUAACUAUUGGAAACGAUAGCUAAUACCGCAUAACAAUGGAUGACACAUGUCAUUUAUUUGAAAGGGGCAAUUGCUCCACUACAAGAUGGACCUGCGUUGUAUUAGCUAGUAGGUGAGGUAAUGGCUCACCUAGGCGACGAUACAUAGCCGACCUGAGAGGGUGAUCGGCCACACUGGGACUGAGACACGGCCCAGACUCCUACGGGAGGCAGCAGUAGGGAAUCUUCGGCAAUGGGGGCAACCCUGACCGAGCAACGCCGCGUGAGUGAAGAAGGUUUUCGGAUCGUAAAGCUCUGUUGUAAGUCAAGAACGGGUGUGAGAGUGGAAAGUUCACACUGUGACGGUAGCUUACCAGAAAGGGACGGCUAACUACGUGCCAGCAGCCGCGGUAAUACGUAGGUCCCGAGCGUUGUCCGGAUUUAUUGGGCGUAAAGCGAGCGCAGCCGGUUUGAUAAGUCUGAAGUUAAAGGCUGUGGCUCAACCAUGGUUCGCUUUGGAAACUGUCAAACUUGAGUGCAGAAGGGGAGAGUGGAAUUCCAUGUGUAGCGGUGAAAUGCGUAGAUAUAUGGAGGAACACCGGUGGCGAAAGCGGCUCUCUGGUCUGUAACUGACGCUGAGGCUCGAAAGCGUGCGGAGCGAACAGGAUUAGAUACCCUGGUAGUCCACGCCGUAAACGAUGAGUGCUAGGUGUUGGAUCCUUUCCGGGAUUCAGUGCCGCAGCUAACGCAUUAAGCACUCCGCCUGGGGAGUACGACCGCAAGGUUGAAACUCAAAGGAAUUGACGGGGGCCCGCACAAGCGGUGGAGCAUGUGGUUUAAUUCGAAGCAACGCGAAGAACCUUACCAGGUCUUGACAUCCCGAUGCUAUUUCUAGAGAUAGAAAGUUACUUCGGUACAUCGGUGACAGGUGGUGCAUGGUUGUCGUCAGCUCGUGUCGUGAGAUGUUGGGUUAAGUCCCGCAACGAGCGCAACCCCUAUUGUUAGUUGCCAUCAUUCAGUUGGGCACUCUAGCGAGACUGCCGGUAAUAAACCGGAGGAAGGUGGGGAUGACGUCAAAUCAUCAUGCCCCUUAUGACCUGGGCUACACACGUGCUACAAUGGUUGGUACAACGAGUUGCGAGUCGGUGACGGCGAGCUAAUCUCUUAAAGCCAAUCUCAGUUCGGAUUGUAGGCUGCAACUCGCCUACAUGAAGUCGGAAUCGCUAGUAAUCGCGGAUCAGCACGCCGCGGUGAAUACGUUCCCGGGCCU